RNA transcript from Andrographis paniculata, 2768 nucleotides. RefSeq lists it as uncharacterized. Lineage: Eukaryota; Viridiplantae; Streptophyta; Magnoliopsida; Lamiales; Acanthaceae. The transcript has 9 exons. The record is from RefSeq and is a predicted model, not a curated record.
CAGAUUUCAAAAUGAAAUAAACAAAACCGAACACCCAUCAAUCAUCAACAGGCAAACCCACAAAUCCACCGCGCCCACCGGCGGCUCCGCCUUGUCGCAUUCCCUCAGCCGCCUUGGAUCGGAGCUCUGAUCGAUACGAUUUUCUCUCGCCGCGUUUUCGCAUCCAGCCGCCGAGAUGCCCGCCUCCGCCGCGUCGAACCACUCCAAUCGUCCGCAGGACUUGAUCGGGCGGCUGAACUCGGCGCACACUCCGGACGAGGACAAGCUAAAAGCAUUGAGAGACUUGAAGAAUCAGAUAAUUGGAAACCGUACGAAGAAGCUGGCUUUCUUGAAGCUCGGCGCUGUGCCCUCCGUCGUAGCUAUUCUCUCCGCCUCCGUCGCAUCCGCUCAAGGCGGAGGCGGCGGGGACAAUCGUGAGUUUCAUGAGUCUGUUUUGAUCCAAUCCGCCGCUGCCAUCGGCAGCUUUGCAUGUGGAUUUGAUGCUGGAGUCAAAUCUGUAUUGGACUCCGGUGCUUUUCCCCUUUUGUUAAACCUUAUCUCCCAUCCGAACGAGAAGGUUGCUGAUGCUGGUGCUCGAUCUCUUAGAAUGAUUUAUCAAUCAAAAAUGGCUCCAAAGUAUGAUUUUCUUGAAGAGAAAAACAUGGAAUUUCUUCUUUCACUGCUGAACAGUGAGAAUGAGAAUGUUACUGGUCUUGGUGCAAGUAUUAUCACGCACUCAUGCCAGACAACCAUUGAUCAGCAGGCUCUGAGUGAAGCUGGAGUUGUAAAACGGCUUGUUGGUCUUCUUGAAGGUUCUUUAAUUCAGAGGGAUGCUAGCUUAGAAUCUCUAGCUGCUGUCGUCAAGGAUAAUCCAAAAGUUGCUUCGAGGUUCAUAGGGCCUGAGAAUGGAAGGGAACUAAAUGUAGUAACUGAAUUGAUGAAUGAUAAGUAUCCUCGGACAAGACUAUUAGCCUGCAUGUGUUUAAUCAACAUAAGAAAUACUUCUACAUCUUUUCUUCAAGAUGCAGGAAUCAAGAACAAAUUGGUUUUGAUAUUACUUGAGCUUCUUGAUGAUCCUGGUCAAGUUGGAGAUGAAGCACCAUACGGGUUGUCUAAUUUGAUUUCAGGGAAGGAGGAUGUACAAAAAGUUGCGUUUAAUGCAAAAGUGAUUGAGAAACUAUUUGACAACUUAAAGAAAGGUUCAUUUAAAACCAAACGUGUGCAGGGGAUAUUUUUAGCACUGGCCGAUCUUUGCUCGAAUUUAGAAUGCUGCAGGGAUAUGGUCCUUCAGUUAAAGGUGUUAGAUUUUGCAUCCGAAGCAUUAGCUCACGAUAGUGCUGAAUUGCGUGCGGCCGCUUGCAUUUUCUUGAAGAAUGCUUCUCGUUCUGUCAAGAGUUUGAGUGCAGGUCAAUUUAUGAAUGAAACAAUCAUCUUUCCAUUGGUCCAGCUUUUAUCUGACUCAUGUACUUCUGUCCAGGUUGCUGCUCUGGGGGCCAUCAGUAACGUUGUAGUGAAUUUCGUCCCCCAUAAAUUUCUAUUGAUGCAGUGUGGAUGCGUAAAGCAACUUGUUCAGCUAUCAAAGUCUAUGGAAUCCACCAUUCGAAUUAAUGCCGUUUGGGCAUUAAAAAAUCUUAUGUUCCUUGUGAACGAAAAAUGUAAAGAGGAGAUUCUCUUGGAGCUAACCACAUCCACAUUAACAAGCCUCAUUAGUGACCCUGAUGCUUCUGUCCAAGAGCAAGCUCUGGCUUUGGUACGCAAUCUUGUAGAUGGUAGUGUGAAUUCAAUAGAGUAUGUGUUUGGGGAUGAUGCACUUCUCCUACAUGCUAUUGGAAGGCAAUUACACAGCUCUACAAAACCUGAAGUUCUGGUUCAAGGCAUGUACACCCUCAGUAACGUGGCUUCCGGAAACGAGCACCACAAGGAAGCUGUAAUGAACCAAUUGUUCCCACAGGUGGGCACCCAUAUGGAAACAAUUUUACUCAAGUUUCUACAGAGUGACAACAGCCAGUUACGAACAGCUGCUGUUUGGGCGAUUGUGAAUCUUACUUUCCCUAGCAGUUCAGGAGCAUUUAGUCGAUCUGCUGAACUGCGAAAUGCUGGCAUAGUCUCUCAACUAAAGAAUAUGGUCAACGACCCGUGUUUGGAUGUAAAGCUCCGGACAAGAACCGCUCUCGGGCAGUUGAUACUGUUCGAUAAUACCUCAACGUGAGGGAAUUACAUCGUACAUUUUGAUGCAAGAUGGUGCACAGUUUUUGCCGCUUUAUGUAACAUAGACUGCUUCCUCAGAAGCCCGGAGAGAAAAAUGCUUUGUGGGGAGCUCGACAAAACUGUAGGUCCGGAUAAGCAGGUCCCCUUUUCCCCUUGGUUACAGUUUUGCAUUUCUGAUAGUUAUGAUUUCUUUUUCUUUUUUUUUUCUUCGUCGUUGCUAUAUCAUUAGUCUUUUUUUCUUUUUCCCAUGUAUUGCUAGUCCGGUUCGAUCAGCUGGGCUGUUAUGCUACAGGUGCCAGCGGUGGUCGCCGGUUGUACACAACUACUUUUGUUUAGGCUAGACGCAGAGUUUUUGUCAUGUUAUGUUUUUUACUUGAAGCUGAUAAUGCUAGUGUAUAUAUAUAUUUGAAUCUAGAAUCUGGAAUCUUGUUGGUAAGUUUCUUGAAUCUUGUUAUGUGUGAAAAUAGCUUGUAUGUUUUGCAAAGUUUUGUCGAAGAUUUGACAAUGGUAGGAAUAAUUUAUGAUUGUACUACGUGGGAGAGUUUUGGGAAUGUCUUCUUGUUGUUUGGAAGUCAUUUUUA